UAAAGCAGUACCAUACAUUAAUAAAAUUAUGUAUUUUUUAAAACAUGGUGUUUUCACUAAUGUCAAAAAUCUCAACAGCCUCUGCCUGGGACUGAAAAACAAUUUAAAGACGGGAAGACCUGGUAUUACAGUCAAAGCCUUGGAUGAAUAGCAAAGGCUAAUGAGAUGUCAGUUUUUAUUUGACCCAGUUGUAACCCAGAUAUGGAGGUGACCUGACUGCUAAUUUAUUAGUGAGACUGUUGUGGCAGCUCCUGCUGUAAUGGCUUAAAAUGAAAUGAUUUUUCUCCAGCUUUUCAGAACAUUGCUUGGUUUUUGUGUUUUUAAAUUUUGAGUUGUAAUGGUUUCCUUCUUUUUAUCUGUAGCCCUCACAUGAUUUCAACCUUCAUGUUAGAAAAACAAACAAAAAACAUUAUCUAGAGGCAUCUAAAAGAUAUAUUUAAGAAAAUACCUCAUCAUAUCUCUGUUUCCAACACCUUCCAGCUGUGGUGCUGGGAGAAGACACAAUACUGAGUGUGGUCCCUUAGGCUGCCUUCAUCCACUGGAUCUCAUUAUGUGGAUGCUUUAGGCAGGGGCCUUUUACAACCUAUGAGCAAUACUGCAGUAGAGCCCCAGGAAAAAUAACAUCUGGAAGUUGUCUUGAGCUUGCAAAACUUCUACUCCUCCUAAGUCAUGUGUCACUUCCUCUAAGAUUCGAAGUCAUAAUAGAAAAACGAAAAUGGAAGUGACACUGUCAGCAGUGUGACCCUCACAGCUGUGCAUCCACUGGGACCCAGAAGAAAUUGCUUCUAAAUGCCAAUAGGAAAUGCCAUAGGAAACUGGUCAGCAGAGCAUUACGUUUGCGCUCUGAUUUGGCACUCUUCAGUCCAGCAUAGAGAGAGCACUACAGGCUGUUGGCACCAGGCAAAGCAAGGGGCUUUUCAAGGCUGCAGUAUUAAGAAAGAGUUUCACCAUGAAAGCCAUCAGUGCUUCUGACUCGGUAAGAACAGUUUUUUCCCAUGUGAUACUUAUCCUGUUGAUUUUAACAGAAACACACUUUUAUUGCACUUGGAGAUAUGCAGAAUGCAUCUAAAGAGCAGUGAAUUUGCUCAGUCUUGGCAUCUUCAUUCUCAAGAGCCUUUUCAAAAUGUAAAUUAGAGACAAAGACUACAGAAACAGAAAUUUUAGAGCACAUGCUAAUUGCAGAA
This 1184-nucleotide long non-coding RNA is filed under the name Cairina moschata (Muscovy duck). RNAcentral's name for it is "domestica (muscovy Duck (domestic type)) lncRNA (ENSCMMG00000017476.1)". Lineage: Eukaryota; Metazoa; Chordata; Aves; Anseriformes; Anatidae. The record is from RNAcentral.